GACGAACGCUGGCGGCGUGCUUAACACAUGCAAGUCGAGCGGAAAGGCCCUUCGGGGUACUCGCGCGGCGAACGGGUGAGUAACACGUGAGUAACCUGCCCCAGACUUUGGGAUAACCCUCGGAAACGGGGGCUAAUACCGGAUACGACACAGCUUCGCAUGGGGUCUGUGUGGAAAGUUUUUCGGUUUGGGAUGGGCUCGCGGCCUAUCAGCUUGUUGGUGGGGUGAUGGCCUACCAAGGCGACGACGGGUAGCCGGCCUGAGAGGGCGACCGGCCACACUGGGACUGAGGCACGGCCCAGACGCCUACGGGAGGCAGCGGUGGAGAGUAUUGCACAAUGGGCGGAAGCCUGAGACAGCGACGCCGCGUGAGGGAUGACGGCCUUCGGGUUGUAAACCUCUUUCAGCAGGGACGAAGCGUAAGUGACGGUACCUGCAGAAGAAGCGCCGGCCAACUACGUG
This 462-nucleotide ribosomal RNA is filed under the name uncultured bacterium. Its description in RNAcentral is "partial 16S ribosomal RNA". It matches the Rfam family "Bacterial small subunit ribosomal RNA", at positions 28 to 507 of the family's 1533-position model. The record is from RNAcentral.